CAGUCGCCGCGGGAAUACGAAGGGGGCUAGCGUUGUUCGGAUUUACUGGGCGUAAAGGGCGCGUAGGCGGACUGAUAAGUCAGGGGUGAAAUCCCAAGGCUCAACCUUGGAACUGCCUUUGAUACUGUUUGUCUUGAGUUCGAGAGAGGUAAGUGGAACUGCGAGUGUAGAGGUGAAAUUCGUAGAUAUUCGCAAGGACACCAGUGGCGAAGGCGGCUUACUGGCUCGAUACUGACGCUGAGGCGCGAAAGCGUGGGGAGCAAACAGGAUUAGAGACCCCCGUAGUCCCUGUCUCUUAUAC
RNAcentral lists this ribosomal RNA (301 nucleotides) under uncultured bacterium. RNAcentral's name for it is "partial 16S ribosomal RNA". It matches the Rfam family "Bacterial small subunit ribosomal RNA", at positions 509 to 807 of the family's 1533-position model. The record is from RNAcentral.